This is a non-coding RNA of Protopterus annectens (West African lungfish), 73 nucleotides long. NCBI's taxonomy places the organism in Eukaryota, Metazoa, Chordata, Ceratodontiformes, Protopteridae. The record is from the annotation of a RefSeq genome assembly.
GGUUCUGUAGCUCAGGGUUUAGAGUUCUGGUUUUGUAAACCAGCGGUCAUGAGUUCAAAUCUCAUCAGGGCCU